UAGCAACUCGACUCAACCUCCAACGCAU
This 28-nucleotide non-coding RNA is filed under the name Bombyx mori (domestic silkworm). The record is from RNAcentral. Lineage: Eukaryota; Metazoa; Arthropoda; Insecta; Lepidoptera; Bombycidae.